RNAcentral lists this ribosomal RNA (1269 nucleotides) under Triticum aestivum (bread wheat). Its description in RNAcentral is "partial small subunit ribosomal RNA". The record is from RNAcentral. Lineage: Eukaryota; Viridiplantae; Streptophyta; Magnoliopsida; Poales; Poaceae.
GCAGGCCAGGACGCGGCCCUGCGGGCGGCCUUGGAGGGCGACCUCCAGCGUCUCAGAGGUACUGUAAAGAGUCUUGUCGACCCAAGGGUGGUCUUCUCUUUCGAAAUGGGUGACCUUGGUGUGCUGCACCUCGCAGCCGGCAGAGGGCAUCUUGAAGUUUGCAAGUACUUGGUGGAGGAACUGGGGGGAGACGUGAAUGCUCCUGCUCCUGGAGUUGGAGACUUUGCAGGUGUGACACCCUUUAUGACAUCUGCUCAGUCCGGCGAUGUUUUGACCGUGAAGUAUUUGCUUGAUUGUGGUGGUGAUGUAACUAAAGCAGAUAGUAAAGGACGCACAGUUCUCCACCAUGCGGCAUGCAAAGGAAGCUGUAAGGUUACUGAGUUUCUACUUUCAAAAGGAGUACCUGUUGACAUAGACUGUGGCCGUGGUACACCACUCCAUCAAGCUGCUACCAAUGAAAAGGAUAAAACAGUGAAGAUUUUGUUGGAACACCAUGCAGAUCCUAAUACCACUGUAACCGGUUUGGGUACUGCCCUGAUGGGUGCUCUUUUGUACCGUUCAUUGAAAUGCAUGAAGCUGCUGAUUAAGGGUGGUGCUGAUGUCAAUCGAAGGAACUCCCUUCUGGUUACUCCGUUGGUGUUCGCUACAGGGCACAAAGGCUAUACCAACUUUGUGCAGUUUCUGUUAAAGGCAGGAGCGGAUCCUAAUAUUCCCGAUGCUUAUGGUAGGUUACCAGUAGAGCAUGCUGCGAGACAUGACUGCAGGGAAGAAGUUGAAAUGCUGUUUCCUUUGACUUCCCCAAUUCCAACUAUCCCAAACUGGAGUAUAGAUGGAAUCAUCUCGCAUGCAAAAUCUGAAAGUGCAAAGCCACUGGUCCAAAGCCACCUUGAACGAACAAAAGCUAUAAUGAAGUCACAGGCAGAUCAUGCAUUCAGGCUGAAGGACUAUAAGUUAGCAUCAAAAGCAUAUGGUGUGGCAAUAGGUGCUGCACCGAGUGCAACAUUGUACGCGAACAGGAGUCUUUGUAAACUGCUGUUGGGUGAUGGUGAAGGUGCUCUGUCAGAUGCUCUCAGAUGCAGAAUGCUGCGACCUAACUGGGCAAAAGCUUGCUACCGUCAGGCUGCAGCUCACAUGCUACUAAAAGAGUAUAAACAAGCUUGUGAUGCUCUCCUGGACGCUAAAAAAUUAGAUCCUGGAAACACAGAGGUUGAGAGAGAGCUACGGAAGGCCAGGGAAUUAAUGAAAGCUCCUGGUGAAGCUGACAAGUGA